CUGUGCUAGCAAUCAGUGAGACUCCGUGGGCGUAGGACCCUCCGAGCCAGGUGUGGGAUAUAAUCUCGUGGUGCGCGGUUUUUUAAGCCCGUCGGAAAAGCGCAGUAUUCAGGUGGGAGUGACCCGAUUUUCCAGGUGCCGUCCGUCACCCCUUUCUUUGACUCAGAAAGGGAACUCCCUGACCCCUGGCGCUUCCCAAGUGAGGCAGUGCCUCGCCCUGCUUCGGCUCGCGCACGGUGCGCGCACCCACUGACCUGUGCCCACUGUCUGGCACUCCCUAGUGAGAUGAACCCGGUACCUCUGAUGGAAAUGGAGAAAUCACCCGUCUUCUGCGUUGCUCACGCUGGGAGCUGUAGACCGGAGCUGUUCCUAUUCGGCCAUCUUGCCAUUUUUCCUUUUUAUUUUGGAUAAGAAAAUUACAACUCACGUAGUUACCGGCUAAAGUCAGUGUGGAACUGAGAACAUGAAGCUAGGCCUCCUGAAAUCAGGUAAAUACUUAAAGUGGAAUUGCUGGGUAUUAUGGUAAGUAUAUGUUUAUCUUUACUAGGAGUUGCCGAACUGUUUUCCAGAGUGGUUUUAAUAUCUUUAAUACUCCAACCGGCAAUAUAUGAGAGUCCAGUUGCUCCCCAACUCAUCAACACCUGGAAUUAUCUAUUUAAUAUAUAUGCAUG
RNAcentral lists this long non-coding RNA (671 nucleotides) under Homo sapiens (human). Its description in RNAcentral is "HSALNT0140017". The record is from RNAcentral. Lineage: Eukaryota; Metazoa; Chordata; Mammalia; Primates; Hominidae.